Molecule: ribosomal RNA, 497 nt
Filed under: uncultured bacterium
Lineage: Bacteria
Description: partial 16S ribosomal RNA
Rfam family: Bacterial small subunit ribosomal RNA
Source: RNAcentral
GACGAACGCUGGCGGCGUGCCUAAUACAUGCAAGUUGAGCGCUGAAGGUUGGUACUUGUACCAACUGGAUGAGCAGCGAACGGGUGAGUAACGCGUGGGGAAUCUGCCUUUGAGCGGGGGACAACAUUUGGAAACGAAUGCUAAUACCGCAUAAAAACUUUAAACACAAGUUUUAAGUUUGAAAGAUGCAAUUGCAUCACUCAAAGAUGAUCCCGCGUUGUAUUAGCUAGUUGGUGAGGUAAAGGCUCACCAAGGCGAUGAUACAUAGCCGACCUGAGAGGGUGAUCGGCCACAUUGGGACUGAGACACGGCCCAAACUCCUUCGGGAGGGAGCAGUAGGGAAUCUUCGGCAAUGGACGAAAGUCUGAACGAGCAACGCCGCGUGAGUGAAGAAGGUUUUCGGAUCGUAAAACUCUGUUGGUAGAGAAGAACGUUGGUGAGAGUGGAAAGCUCAUCAAGUGACGGUAACUACACAGAAAGGGACGGCUAACUACGUG